Cladorrhinum samala is the source of this 89-nucleotide non-coding RNA. Lineage: Eukaryota; Fungi; Ascomycota; Sordariomycetes; Sordariales; Podosporaceae. The record is from the annotation of a GenBank genome assembly.
GGCCGUGUGGUGUAGUGGUAGCAUACUUGCUUUGGGAUUUCUUCUACAAGGCUUGCAAGUGGUCCCAGGUUCGAGCCCUGGCUCGGCCC